RNAcentral lists this ribosomal RNA (253 nucleotides) under uncultured bacterium. RNAcentral's name for it is "partial 16S ribosomal RNA". It matches the Rfam family "Bacterial small subunit ribosomal RNA", at positions 524 to 776 of the family's 1533-position model. The record is from RNAcentral.
UACGUAGGGUGCGAGCGUUGUCCGGAAUUACUGGGCGUAAAGAGCUCGUAGGUGGUUUGUCGCGUUGUUCGUGAAAACUCACAACUCAAUUGUGGGCGUGCGGGCGAUACGGGCAGACUGGAGUACUGCAGGGGAGACUGGAAUUCCUGGUGUAGCGGUGGAAUGCGCAGAUAUCUGGAGGAACACCGGUGGCGAAGGCGGCAUCCUGGACCGGCAUUGACGCUGAGGAGCGAAAGCCAGGGGAGCAAACGGG